UGAGGACAAUGGGCGGCUUCC
Molecule: microRNA, 21 nt
Filed under: Eptesicus fuscus (big brown bat)
Lineage: Eukaryota; Metazoa; Chordata; Mammalia; Chiroptera; Vespertilionidae
Description: efu-miR-9249
Source: miRBase by way of RNAcentral